UGUUCCACGACCAGGACGGAAUCCGCAUUGUUCCUCCUCAACCCGAGGUUCGACUAUCCGGGAAGUGGAGCAGGUACUGCAUACAAUUAAUGUCAUGGUUUGAUGGAUACAAGGACUCAUUUAAGAGACCAAAAAACACCAGUGAACAGCUUUCUUUCCAGGGCAGCUCUUGUCACAAAAUAUAUGACAAAAGCAGGACGAGUCAACAUGCUAACCCAACAGGCCAUGGGUUGGAACUGACGAAAGAGGGAUAACCUUCAUCAAGCGUUAGCCCACAGAUACCUCAAAAUCACAGAUAGGGCAAAAGUGGAAGCUGUCAGCCUCAGGAGCAUCAAGGAGCAACAACCUGGAUCAGGAGACCACACAGCAGUGGGUGUGUGAUGUCAGACAGAAUCUACACUCCAGGGUGCACUGAAGACCUCAGGGCUGAAAUUGAAAACUUAACAGUAACCCUUUUGCGCAAGAAGCAAGACCUGUAUCGUCAGCAUGAUAGCAACCAGACAAGACAGAGAAAAAGAAAGACAAUGGCACAGCUGAAGAUAAAGCUUUGUGAUCUGGUCUUGCAGUACAACACCACCGUGGAAGGAGAUCAGAUUGACGAGGAGUUGGCGUGCAGUCUGACAGAUGGCUACAUCCUGCCAUGGGAGACGCAUGAAGAUGAGGUUGGUCUUUGACCAGGUAAUGCUGCUGAAACGCAUGGAGGAGGAGCAGAGCGUCUUGGUGAAAGAGAUGUCCCAACAUGUUAUGUACCUUCUAAAGGAAAUACAACAAGUGGAGGCACUCAAGGGAAAGACUUUGGAGAGCAUCAAAACAAACUAUUUUGGUGACCUGACAGAGGACGCUACACAUGGGCUCAACAGUGUUCUCAGUCGGAGGUGGCACUACCUAAAAAGCCAAAGUAGCCAGUAGUAUAGCCUUGAAGGAACUUGUUUUCUUCCAUAUACAGGAGGACAUUGAAGAUUGGGAGGACAACGGCUUCACUAGCCCCGAGUCAGAAGAAGAAGAAACGUAAAGUCCACUGCCUUUGCUCCUGUCCUUUCCAACUCUGCAUAAUCACUAUGUAUUGUGUUUUUUGUGUAUGCCCCUGUAAAGCACUGUGACUGUGAAAAAUGAUGAAAAAUACAUCUUAUUUAAUUAGUUACUUUACUGUAAAAUCAAUCAAAAUACCUUUAGUGU
This is a long non-coding RNA of Perca flavescens (yellow perch), 1176 nucleotides long. RefSeq lists it as uncharacterized. The record is from RefSeq and is a predicted model, not a curated record. The transcript has 8 exons. Lineage: Eukaryota; Metazoa; Chordata; Actinopteri; Perciformes; Percidae.